CUAAAGCAAGAUUAAGAAUUAAACAUGUGUAAUAGAAGUAUCAGGAAUUCAGAAUGGUAGUUGGCGCAUAUGGAAUGGAUUUGAUGGCCGAAAAUUGUGUACCCUGUGAAGAAUUAAUUACUGGUUUUAAGUUUUAACUGCAUACUGUUAUCAUUUCAGGGAAAGGUGAUCUUCAGAAGAGCUGAGUAAGGUACAGCUUAAAACCAUUAUUUAUUCUAUAGUGAUCUUCAGCACACUGCCACUGCACUUUCUUGCUAGAUUAAUAACUCUGAAUAUCUGAUAUUUUCCUCCUAUGGUCUGAAUGUUGGGUUAGUUCCAACUGAUUAUUCACUUAACUCUGGCAGCAUUUCAAUUCCAGAAUCAAUUUGAUUACAGUCUUUUCUUCUCUGUGCUAAAUUCUGGAAGUUGCUAGCUUCUAUUCAUCAAGUUAUACAUACAAGUUUGUAGUCUGAAAUUCAUUCAGAACACCAGGUUUAGUCAAUUAUUUCUUUUUCCAUAUAUGUAUGCAUAAAGAUCAAAUUCUCUCUAGGUGGAGUGAGCAGCUCUUUGAAUCUUUCAGUGCUUCAUUUUACUUCAAUUGUAAAAGGAGAUGUGCCUAUAAGUAUGUCCUUUGCUUCAGAGGUCAUUAGCAUUAACUGAUAUGCUUACAUGUUUGCCACUGAAAUGUGUUAUGUAGGCUGCAGCAGAAGGUUCAUUUUCCCUUUUGUGAGGUGCCAUAACUUUCUGGUGUCUGUUGAAGGACAAAGAUUAUAAAUGACAUAUAUUGCAGGAAAAUGACAUAUUUUGAGUGUUUUUAUAUGUUGGGAACGUGCAUUGCACGUGCACGAUUACUAGUGAAACAAAAUUGGCCAGUAGCUUAGGUUACAUCAAACUGCCAUGCACGCGAACCCAAGCGCGAGGCUGCCGGCCAGGGGAUCCAUUGCGUGGUCGUGGGCAAGGCUGCAAGAACCGAAGCUCGAGGCAAGAGCGUCCGCGAGAGAGUACUGAGCGGCGGCAGCGACUGAUCUGACUCCUCCAUUUCGCUUUCCACCAUGUCGUCCGCGUCCAUGGCAGGCGCCUGCUCCUUCCUGGUGGCAGCAGCGGGGAAGCCGCCGCGCCGGAGCUCCCUCCAGCGGUGCUUCAUGACGCGCGAGGUCCGGCCGUAGACGGCGCGGCCGAUCUCCUUCCAGCGGUCGCCGAGGCGGUAGUGGAGGCGUAGGAGCUCAUCGUCUUCGCGGGCGGUGAAGGGGCGGUGGUAGACGUCGCGGGCGAGGUGGUGGCGCCACCUGUCGCGGCACGACCUGGCUCCUAGCGACCCGGCUCCAGCGGCGGAAGCCGUUCUCCUUGGCGAGGCGCUGCAGCCGCGCGUCCUCCUCCGGCGUCCACGCCGGCAGCAGCUUGAGGCGGACGACGCACCUCGCGCGAGGCGGCGGCGUCAGCGGUGGCGUCGCCAUGAUCACCUCCUGAUCCAUCGCGACCUCUCAAUCUGCUAGAGGCUAGAGCUGAGAGCUACGUACGGCAACGACAAGUGAGGAUUCAGAUGAAGAAUCGCGAUUCACCAGUAGUUGAUGAAAGACAGGGCGGCGCCGGCCCACUGUAUAUAUAGCGCUGAUUCCUUCAUUCGCGUGGGAUUACGAAUCGGAGUCGGAGUGAUUAUAAUUAAUUAGCUUAACAUGCACGCGUGAAUUAAUCGAUCGCUAGCUUCGGACUCCGUAUUUACUAAUUAAUAGUAUUUCCAAUCGAACAAAACUACUCCAUUUCAGUGCAUCGGUUGUUUACUAUAUAUCCUGUCUGACUUUUGAAACAAAAUUCUAUGAAUGUUGAACUCAUUUGGCAAAUUAAACCUAAAAACUGCCUGAGAAAAGACUAGUUCACAAACGGCCGCGUGCGAUCAGUUGUGCUUGCCAUUUCGUUUGCCCAGACGAGUAUUACUGUUUCUUUUUUUAUUUUUGGGCUUUUAUCGCAUGGGCCUGUUUCAGUGUUUCCUUUUCAGAUUGGAAAAAGUACACUAAUGGUCCCUCGACUUGUCAUCGAGUUACAAAAUCGUCCCCCAACAACAAAACAAGAUAUAAGAUAUCCCUCAACUUACAAAAUCCAUUUAUUUUAGGUCUUUUGGUGAUUUUGUUA
This 2106-nucleotide long non-coding RNA is filed under the name Oryza sativa (Asian cultivated rice). Its description in RNAcentral is "long non-coding RNA (OSAT_LNC001333)". The record is from RNAcentral. Lineage: Eukaryota; Viridiplantae; Streptophyta; Magnoliopsida; Poales; Poaceae.